AAUAGGCCCAAGCGACUGUUUAUCAAAAACACAGGUCUCUGCUAAACCGUAAGGUGAUGUAUAGGGGCUGACGCCUGCCCGGUGCUGGAAGGUUAAGAGGAGUGGUUAGCUUCUGCGAAGCUACGAAUCGAAGCCCCAGUAAACGGCGGCCGUAACUAUAACGGUCCUAAGGUAGCGAAAUUCCUUGUCGGGUAAGUUCCGACCCGCACGAAAGGCGUAACGAUUUGGGCACUGUCUCAACGAGAGACUCGGUGAAAUCAUAGUACCUGUGAAGAUGCAGGUUACCCGCGACAGGACGGAAAGACCCCGUGGAGCUUUACUGUAGCCUGAUAUUGAAAUUCGGCACAGCUUGUACAGGAUAGGUAGGAGCCUUUGAAACGUGAGCGCUAGCUUACGUGGAGGCGCUGGUGGGAUACUACCCUAGCUGUGUUGGCUUUCUAACCCGCACCACUUAUCGUGGUGGGAGACAGUGUCAGGCGGGCAGUUUGACUGGGGCGGUCGCCUCCUAAAAGGUAACGGAGGCGCUCAAAGGUUCCCUCAGAAUGGUUGGAAAUCAUUCAUAGAGUGUAAAGGCAUAAGGGAGCUUGACUGCGAGACCUACAAGUCGAGCAGGGUCGAAAGACGGACUUAGUGAUCCGGUGGUUCCGCAUGGAAGGGCCAUCGCUCAACGGAUAAAAGCUACCCCGGGGAUAACAGGCUUAUCUCCCCCAAGAGUUCACAUCGACGGGGAGGUUUGG
This 737-nucleotide ribosomal RNA is filed under the name Staphylococcus aureus. Its description in RNAcentral is "partial 23S ribosomal RNA". It matches the Rfam family "Bacterial large subunit ribosomal RNA", at positions 1785 to 2521 of the family's 2925-position model. Lineage: Bacteria; Bacillati; Bacillota; Bacilli; Caryophanales; Staphylococcaceae. The record is from RNAcentral.